This is a long non-coding RNA of Canis lupus familiaris (dog), 2669 nucleotides long. RefSeq lists it as uncharacterized. The record is from RefSeq and is a predicted model, not a curated record. Lineage: Eukaryota; Metazoa; Chordata; Mammalia; Carnivora; Canidae. The transcript has 3 exons.
CCUCUGCCGAUCUGGGUAAUGCUGGUGGCAUGCAUCAUCACAGGAUCAACUUCGACAAAUAUCACCCAGGUUACUUUGGAAAAGUCGGUAUGAGACAUUACCACUUAAAGAGGAACCAGAGCUUCUGCCCAACUGUCAACCUUGAUAAACUGUGGACCUUAGUCAGUGAGCAGACACGGGUAAAUGCUGCCAAAAACAAGACUGGAGCUGCUCCUAUUAUCGAUGUGGUGCGAUCAGGCUACUACAAAGUUUUGGGAAAGGGAAAGCUCCCCAAACAGCCUGUCAUCGUGAAGGCCAAAUUCUUCAGUAAAAGAGCUGAGGAGAAGAUAAAGGGUGUGGGGGGCACCUGCCUUCUAGUAGCUUGAAGCCACAUAGGGUGAGGUUCAUUAAAUGCUAACAAGUGCUUUUCUUAAAAAAAAAAAAAAAAAAAGAAAGAAAGAAUCACCUACCUAAAGUAUAACUUCCAUGAUUUUUAAUAUAUUCAAAGUUGUGCAACUAUCACCAAAAUCAAUUUUAGAACAUUUUUAUUACCUCAAAAAACCCCAUACCCUUUGUUCUCCCCUAUUCAUCUCUUGCCUGCUAACCUACAUUUUGCCUCUAUGAAUUUUCCUAUUCUGGACAUUUCACACAACUGAAAUCAUACAUUGGGCUUUCAUGACUGGUUUCCUUCACUCAGCAUAACGUUUCUAAGUUUCAUCCAUAUUGUGGCAUGAAUCAGUACUGCAUUCCUUCUUAUUGCUGAAUAAUAUUCCAUUGUGUGGAUAUAUCACAGUUUGUUCAUCAUUGGGUUGUUUGACUUUUUGGCUAUUAUGAAUAAGGCUUCUAUGAACAUCCAUGUACAAGUUUUUGUGUGGAUAUAUGUCUUCAUUUCUCUUGAAUAUAUACCUAGGAGUGGAAUUGCUGGAUCAAAAGGUAAUCCUAUGUUCAUUUGGCAACUCUCUGUAGCUUUUUGAGGAACUGUCACAGUGUUUUCUAUAUUGGCUGAACCAUUUUACAUUACUACCAGCAGUGGGUUAAGAGUUCUGGUUUCAUCACAUUCUUACUAACAUUUGUUACUAUCUAACUUUUUUAUUAUAGCCAUCCCACUGGGUAUGAAAUAAUUAUCUCCUGGUGGGAUUGAUUCACAUUUCCCUGAUGACUAGAUUUUAUUUAUUUUUAAAAUAUUCUGUCUCUUACCCCCAAACUAGCUAGUGUUUCCAGAAAUGACUUUUUUUUUCUACAACUACUCUGCAUCAUUGUUGAAAACUAAUGCUGUCCAGAACCAAAAGUUUAUAAGGGGAGUUAUAUCUGCAUAAAUGGAAUUAAGUUUCUUUGUUUACUCUGUUCAGGACAUAUUGUUAGCAAAUUUGAAAGAUAUGUUUGAGAUGACCUUACUUAAAAAUAGACUUUGUAGUAUAACUGUGGUUCAAUUUGGGGAACUCUGGAAAGUAUCUCAGGCUCCCUGCAAAACAGCUAAAAUUGUAAUGAGAAGCCAACAUAACCAUGGGAUAGAAAUGAUAUCAUGUUAAGCUGCUGUGGACAAAGAAAAAUGAUCAGGUUUCAGAUAUGAACCCUAAGCCAAAUGUUUCAAGGGCUGACCUAAACCACAAAGAUUAAUUUGUAUUAGGGCUACUCUGUAGCCUGUUCAGAAGGUGAAGCUGCAAGAAUUUAUUCAAUGAUUCUCCCAAAUAUUGCUGGAGAGAUGUGUUAGAGAGAGAGAGAGAGUGUGUGUGUGUGUGUGUGUGUGUGUGUGUGUGUCAACAUUCAAAAGCAAAUGUCAGGCAUCCUACCUGUUUAAUGAUUUAAAAGUACUAGUCGUUACUUGAGUUUGGUGUGGUAGGGUCCCAUGUAAGCCUAGUUCUAAACUUUUCUGAAUAUGAGUAGGAAUAGCACGAAAAGCUGAAAUUUAUAUCAUUGUGAUUUUAAUUUUUAAUGGUAAUGAGACUUUUCAUAUGGCCAUGAGUCUGAAUAUACAAGUGGACAAUGGCCAGACCAUAUGUGCCAACAGAAUUCUGACUCAAUUCUCUGCAGCAACCCAUCUUGGAAACAGAACCACCAUCUCUGCAGCCAUAGCCCCAGAAUGGUCAAGAAUUGGUCAGUAACUGCCAGUUUUCUUAUUUUUUCCCCCUAUUUCCAAUUAAGGACCAACUAGAGAAAGUCAAAUAUGCUUCCCAAACCAAUCACAUAGCAUGCCCUCUAGAUUCUAGUUAGCCUGCUUCCUGCUCCCCCAUACCAACAACCUCCAAUCGAAGCAUACCUGAAGUCUUCCCCUUUAUUCACUAUACAGCCUCCCCUCCCCUCUUGCCUACCUUUGAAUCUCUACCAAAUGCAGAUGAUAGUGGCUGACUCCCUUGCUAAACAAGCUCUGAAUAAAUACCUUUUGCUUGUUCCUCUUUGAGUUCUUUUAUUUCCACAUAGCUAAAGCAGUUUUAAUUUUUACACACAAAUGAACCAGAAUGACAGAACAAUGCAGUGCAAUGUUUUUCCUAGGAGCUGGAUGGCAAUUCAACAUCUAAUAAUGUAGUAUACCAACUGCCACUCCAGUCCCUACAGUAAGUGCCAUUGUGGCAAGGAGAUAAGAAACACAAGUUAUAAAAUUUAUAUGUUGUUUACUUCCAUUCUCUUUUUGAUAAUAAUUAUCUUUCCUUUUUAUGAAAUUACAUAUCUAAAUCAGAUAACAACUACACACA